Molecule: ribosomal RNA, 253 nt
Filed under: uncultured bacterium
Lineage: Bacteria
Description: partial 16S ribosomal RNA
Rfam family: Bacterial small subunit ribosomal RNA
Source: RNAcentral
UACGUAGGGGGCAAGCGUUGUCCGGAAUCAUUGGGCGUAAAGCGCGCGUAGGCGGCCCGGUAAGUCCGCUCUGAAAGUCCAGGGCUCAACCCUGGAAAGCGGGUGGAUACUGCCGGGCUAGAAUCCGGAAGAGGCGAGUGGAAUUCCUGGUGUAGCGGUGGAAUGCGUAGAUAUCUGGAGGAACACCGGUGGCGAAAGCGGCUCACUGGACCCGAUCUGACACUGAGGUGCGAAAGCUAGGGUAGCAAACGGG